AUAACCCCGGAAAACUGGGGAUAAUACCCCAUAGACUACAGAAGCUGGAAUGCUCUGUAAUCGAAAGGUCCGCCGCCUUAGGAUGGGUCUGCGGCUGAUUAGGUUGUUUUUGGGGUAACGGCCCGGCAAGCCUGUAAUCAGUACACGGUUGUGGGAGCAAGAACCCGGAGAUGGAUUCUGAGACACGAAUCCAGGCCCUACGGGGCGCAGCAGGCGCGAAAACUUUACAAUGCGAGAAAUCGUGAUAAGGGAACCCCGAGUGCCCGUAAAUUCGGGCUGUUAAUCUGUGUAAAAAGCAGGUGGAGAAAGGGCCGGGCAAGACCGGUGCCAGCCGCCGCGGUAAUACCGGCGGCUCGAGUGGUGGCCACUAUUACUGGGCUUAAAGCGUCCGUAGCUGGAUUGUUAAGUCUCUUGGGAAAUCUACCGGCUUAACCGAUAGGCGUUCAAGGGAUACUGGCAAUCUAGGGACCGGGAGAGGUGAGAGGUACUCCAGGGGUAGGAGUGAAAUCCUGUAAUCCUUGGGGGACCACCUGUGGCGAAGGCGUCUCACCAGAACGGCUCCGACAGUGAGGGACGAAAGCUGGGGGAGCAAACCGGAUUAGAUACCCGGGUAGUCCCAGCUGUAAACGAUGUGCGUUAGGUGUAUCGGUGACCACGAGUCACCGAGGUGCCGAAGAGAAAUCGUGAAACGUACCGCCUGGGAAGU
RNAcentral lists this ribosomal RNA (706 nucleotides) under uncultured Methanomicrobiales archaeon. RNAcentral's name for it is "bacterial SSU rRNA". It matches the Rfam family "Archaeal small subunit ribosomal RNA", at positions 126 to 836 of the family's 1478-position model. The record is from RNAcentral. Lineage: Archaea; Methanobacteriati; Methanobacteriota; Methanomicrobia; Methanomicrobiales.